UGGGGAAUAUUGCACAAUGCGCGCAAGCCUGAUGCAGCCAUGCCGCGUGUGUGAAGAAGGCCUUCGGGUUGUAAAGCACUUUCAGCGGGGAGGAAGGCGAUAAGGUUAAUAACCUUGUCGAUUGACGUUACCCGCAGAAGAAGCACCGGCUAACUCCGUGCCAGCAGCCGCGGUAAUACGGCGGGUGCAAGCGUUAAUCGGAAUUACUGGGCGUAAAGCGCACGCAGGCGGUCUGUCAAGUCGGAUGUGAAAUCCCCGGGCUCAACCUGGGAAGUGCAUUCGAAACUGGCAGGCUAGAGUCUUGUAGAGGGGGGUAGAAUUCCAGGUGGAGCGGUGAAAUGCGUAGAGAUCUGGAGGAAUACCGGUGGCGAAGGCGGCCACCUGGACAAAGACAGAAGCUCAGGUGCGAAAGAGUGGGGAGCAAACAGG
This 429-nucleotide ribosomal RNA is filed under the name Chloroflexota bacterium. Its description in RNAcentral is "Chloroflexi bacterium partial 16S ribosomal RNA". It matches the Rfam family "Bacterial small subunit ribosomal RNA", at positions 355 to 776 of the family's 1533-position model. Lineage: Bacteria; Bacillati; Chloroflexota. The record is from RNAcentral.